UGCAGUGAGCUGAGAUCACGCCACUGCACACCAGCCUGGGUGACAGAGCGAGACUCUGUCUCGAAAAAGAAAGAAAAUGUAAGCUGGCUUCCCGCCCCCUCUGCCCCACGUGCCGGCCCUCCUGGUGCUCUAUCCACUGCAGGGCCAGCCACUCGCCAGGAGGCCACGGGCCACGGGAAGAACCAAGCGGCGCCAGCCACGAGACGUCACCAAGAAAACAUGCAACUCAAACGACGGAAAAAAAAAGGGAAUGGGAAAAAAGAAAACAGAUCCUGGGAGGGGGCGGGAAAUACAAGGAAUAUUUUUUAAAGAGGAUUCUCAUAAGGAAAGCAAUGACUGUUCUUGCGGGGGAUAAAAAGGGCUUGGGAGAUUCAUGCGAUGUGUCCAAUCGGAGACAAAAGCAGUUUCUCUCCAACUCCCUCUGGGAAGGUGACCUGGCCAGAGCCAAGAAACACUUUCAGAAAAACAAAUGUGAAGGGGAGAGACAGGGGCCGCCCUUGGCUCCUGUCCCUGCUGC
This 517-nucleotide long non-coding RNA is filed under the name Pan troglodytes (chimpanzee). RNAcentral describes it as "long non-coding RNA NONPTRT000118". Lineage: Eukaryota; Metazoa; Chordata; Mammalia; Primates; Hominidae. The record is from RNAcentral.